This 459-nucleotide ribosomal RNA is filed under the name uncultured bacterium. Its description in RNAcentral is "partial 16S ribosomal RNA". It matches the Rfam family "Bacterial small subunit ribosomal RNA", at positions 338 to 795 of the family's 1533-position model. The record is from RNAcentral.
CCUACGGGGGGCAGCAGUGAGGAAUAUUGGUCAAUGGACGGAAGUCUGAACCAGCCAUGCCGCGUGCAGGAAGACGGCUCUAUGAGUUGUACACUGCUUUUGUACAAGGGUAAACCUGAAGACGUGUAUUCAGAUGAAAGUACUGUACGAAUAAGGAUCGGCUAACUCCGUGCCAGCAGCCGCGGUAAUACGGAGGAUCCAAGCGUUAUCCGGAUGUUGUGGGUUUAAAGGGUGCGUAGGCGGUGGGUUAAGGCAGUGGUCAAAUUGAGGGGCUCAACCCCUUCCCGCCAUUGAAACUGGCGUUCUUGAGUGGGAGAGAAGUAUGCGGAAUGCGUGGUGUAGCGGUGAAAUGCAUAGAUAUCACGCAGAACCCCGAUUGCGAAGGCAGCAUGCCGGCUUCCUACUGACGCUGAAGCACGAAAGCGUGGGGAUCGAACAGGAUUAGAUACCCUUGUAGUC